This is a long non-coding RNA of Peromyscus eremicus (cactus mouse), 610 nucleotides long. RefSeq lists it as uncharacterized. NCBI's taxonomy places the organism in Eukaryota, Metazoa, Chordata, Mammalia, Rodentia, Cricetidae. The transcript has 4 exons. The record is from RefSeq and is a predicted model, not a curated record.
UCUACUGACAUUCCUGACUCCAUGUUCAUGACAGUCUCCCAUGUGUCCAUCUUGUCAUCUUAUAAAGACCCUACUUAUAUUGGAUUAGAGCUUACAGUAUUCCAACAUGACCUCCUUUUGCUUGACUGAUUAAAUCUGAAGAGAUCCUGUGGUCAGACACAGUAACAUUCACUGGAGGGGGUUUAAUGGAGGUAUAUCAUCCUGUUUAGGGAUGACUGUUCCAAAAUCUCUCACUCUCUGCAUAACGACGAACAAUAAAGUGGAUCCCUUCUCAUUCCACAUUAUCCAUGGAGUUUCAUCAGGAUGAAAUGCAGCUUUGGUGAGAAAUGAGCUGAGAGACAACUGCUCCUGUUUCAUUGGAAGAUUGUUAAAGAAACAACAUUGGAAUCUGGAUGCUUGCCUUCGAUUCUAGCACAUUUUAGUUGCAUGAUAUUAACAAAUUAUCUUUUGGGAUAUAUAUGUAUAUAUAUAUUUGCAAACUGUGAGUCUAUCAGUGUCAGUGUUCUAAGAUGGUGUAUGAGAAGAACUUGAGUCAUACUGAUUAGUACAUAAAAUGUAACCAAUAAGUAUGGAUUUCUGUAUUUGUUCAUAAUAAAAAAUUGAAACUUUA